This 250-nucleotide ribosomal RNA is filed under the name uncultured bacterium. RNAcentral's name for it is "partial 16S ribosomal RNA". It matches the Rfam family "Bacterial small subunit ribosomal RNA", at positions 524 to 773 of the family's 1533-position model. The record is from RNAcentral.
GACGGAGGGUGCAAACGUUGUUCGGAAUUACUGGGCGUAAAGCGCGUGUAGGCGGUCCGAUAAGUCGGGUGUGAAACCCCUCGGCUCAACCGAGGAAUUGCACUCGAUACUGCCGGACUGGAGUUCGGGAGAGGGACGUGGAAUUCCCGGUGUAGAGGUGAAAUUCGUAGAUAUCGGGAGGAACACCGGUGGCGAAGGCGGCGUCCUGGACCGAUACUGACGCUGAGACGCGAAAGCGUGGGGAGCAAAC